RNAcentral lists this ribosomal RNA (233 nucleotides) under uncultured bacterium. Its description in RNAcentral is "partial 16S ribosomal RNA". It matches the Rfam family "Bacterial small subunit ribosomal RNA", at positions 100 to 334 of the family's 1533-position model. The record is from RNAcentral.
CGGGACGGGUGAGUAAUGUAUGGGGAUCUGCCUGAUGGCGGGGGGUAACUACUGGAAACGGUAGCUAAUACCGCAUAAUGUCUGCGGACCAAAGCGGGGGACCUCCGGGCCUCGCGCCAUCAGAUGAACCCAUAUGGGAUUAGCUUGUAGGUAAGGUAACGGCUUACCUAGGCGACGAUCCCUAGCCGGUCUGAGAGGAUGAUCAGCCACACUGGGACUGAGACACGGCCCAG